Non-coding RNA from Hydra vulgaris (swiftwater hydra), 1316 nucleotides. The record is from RefSeq and is a predicted model, not a curated record. Lineage: Eukaryota; Metazoa; Cnidaria; Hydrozoa; Anthoathecata; Hydridae.
UAUGAUUUUCCAUUAAGAAUUAUGAGGAAAUAAAAGAUGUUGUGCCAAGAAGAUGGAUAAAUACAUAAAAAAAAAAAAUACUAAUUUGGUCUUCUGGUAUAUCUUAUCAUAGAGCUGACAAUGAUGAAAUAAAUGCAGAUGAAACAUGGGACAAAUAAAAACUUAUCAAAAUAAAAUUUAAGAGUGAUAAUAUAAAUGAGCUAAAAGAAUAUGGUUACACAACAGCAGAAGAGGAGUAGGAUGAAAUAGAUAAUUGUUUUACAAGUUCUAAAGGAACAUUUGAAGUCAAAAGUAAUGUUUAUGGUAUAAUUAAGAGUUUGCUUACAAUUUAUUUUUAAUAUCAAAUGUAAAUACAAUAACAAAAAUUAAUUAUAUAGAUAUUAUAUUUUAGAGUUACCAGAUUUUCCAUUGCUUCCACCAGUUUUGCAAUCCAUACCAACAAAAUCAUUUGAUUUGAUUUUAAUUUGUCACCUGGAUCAACUAUUUUAAAACAAUCAAAUAUUUGCUCUGGCAUCUAAUAAUUAUUAAAUUAUAAAAAUUUAGAAUUAAUUCAAUUUGCAACACCUUUAAUCUAAAAUAUUUCUGGAUUCUUAUUUUUAGUAUUGCCUGACUCUUUACCUUUACACACAGAGGAACUAUCAACUUCGUAUUCUGAGUCACUGCCUUUGCCUAACUUUAUUUUACCUUCAAUUCAACUGAAAAGGAACAAUCAAAUUUUUUUACAGGUUAUUGUUUUACAUCUAAAAAAUGUUGUUUGAAAUUUUUUCUUUAAUUUUAUUUUAUUUUUUGGCAUUAGUUUCACCUCAUACUCAAGAGUUCAAAAAAAAGAAAACAAAAGAAGUACAAAAGAGCCCUUGGACCAGAGAAGUUAGUUAAAAAUCAGUUUCUUAUGGAAGUUGGAAAAUACCAGCAUAUGAUGUUCAAGAUGGUAUCAAAAAUUCUUGAAAACUAAUCUAUUAUUGCUGUAAAUAAACAACCCCAUAGUAUUUUGGCAGUUAAGUAAUUAGAGACUAUAGCAGAAUACAAAGAUUUUGUCAAAUAUUUAGAGGAUGAUUCAGUUUGCCUUGAUUUGGUUAAAAAACUGAGUUUUUUAGGCGCAGAAGAUUAUAAACAGCUGACAAGAUUGGUUAUGAAUAUAUUAUUUACAAAUACCCUAUUGGCACAGUUUAAUUUAAAAGGUUCUGGUGAAAAAAUUGGUUUAUUAUCAACGAAGCUAUAUGAUGUAAUAGAAGAAGUUGUAACAAGAAGGUUUAGAAAAGUUUCAAAUUCUGAUAUAAGACAGCAAAUCGGAAGAUAUUGUAAAAAUGCUCCAUCGC